RNAcentral lists this ribosomal RNA (788 nucleotides) under uncultured bacterium. RNAcentral describes it as "bacterial SSU rRNA". It matches the Rfam family "Bacterial small subunit ribosomal RNA", at positions 135 to 942 of the family's 1533-position model. The record is from RNAcentral.
AGAGGGGGAUAACCAUUGGAAACGGUGGCUAAUACCCCAUGUGGUCCUGUAUUCGGUUGUGGGAUUAAAGGCUUCGGCGCUUCGGGAGGGGCCUGCGGCCUAUCAGCUAGUUGGCAGGGUAAUGGCCUACCAAGGCUAUGACGGGUAGCUGGUCUGAGAGGACGGUCAGCCACACUGGCACUGAGACACGGGCCAGACUCCUACGGGAGGCAGCAGUGAGGGAUAUUGCGCAAUGGGGGAAACCCUGACGCAGCAACGCCGCGUGGGCGAAGAAGGUCUUCGGAUCGUAAAGCCCUUUUCUCUCGGACGAGGAAGGACGGUACGGGAGGAAUAAGUGUCGGCUAACUACGUGCCAGCAGCCGCGGUAAAACGUAGGACGCAAGCGUUAUCCGGAUUUAUUGGGCGUAAAGCGCGUCUAGGCGGCGUCUUAAGUUGGGCGUGAAAUCUUCCGGCUCAACCGGAAGGGGCCGUCCAAUACUGGGGCGCUUGAGGGCAGCAGGGGGAGGUGGAAUUCCCGGUGUAGCGGUGGAAUGCGUAGAUAUCGGGAGGAACACCAGUGGCGAAGGCGGCCUCCUGGGCUGUACCUGACGCUGAAGCGCGAAAGCGUGGGGAGCGAACGGGAUUAGAUACCCCGGUAGUCCACGCCGUAAACUAUGGAUACUAGGUGUUGGUGGUACUGACCCCAUCAGUGCCGCAGCUAACGCGUUAAGUAUCCCGCCUGGGGACUACGGCCGCAAGGCUAAAACUCAAAGGAAUUGACGGGGGCCCGCACAAGCAGCGGAGCGUGU